This 452-nucleotide ribosomal RNA is filed under the name Caloplaca badioreagens. RNAcentral's name for it is "LSU rRNA". It matches the Rfam family "Eukaryotic large subunit ribosomal RNA", at positions 263 to 733 of the family's 3401-position model. The record is from RNAcentral. Lineage: Eukaryota; Fungi; Ascomycota; Lecanoromycetes; Teloschistales; Teloschistaceae.
AGUCGAGUUGUUUGGGAAUGCAGCUCAAAAUGGGUGGUAUAUUUCAUCUAAAGCUAAAUACCGGCCAGAGACCGAUAGCGCACAAGUAGAGUGAUCGAAAGAUGAAAAGCACUUUGGAAAGAGAGUCAAAAAGUACGUGAAAUUGUUGAAAGGGAAGCGCUCGCAACCAGACCUGCCCGCGGCCGAUCAACCGUUCUUCUGGGCGGUGCACUCGGUCGUGAUCAGGCCAGCAUCGGUUCGGGCGGCCGGAUAAAGGCCCCGGGAACGUAGCUCCUUCCGGGGAGUGUUAUAGCCCGGGGUGCAAUGCGGCCAGCCUGGACCGAGGACCGCGCUUCGGCUAGGAUGCUGGCGUAAUGGUUGUGAGCGGCCCGUCUUGAAACACGGACCAAGGAGUCUAACAUCUAUGCGAGUGUUUGGGUGUCAAACCCAUGCGCGUAAUGAAAGUGAACGGA